RNAcentral lists this ribosomal RNA (253 nucleotides) under uncultured bacterium. Its description in RNAcentral is "partial 16S ribosomal RNA". It matches the Rfam family "Bacterial small subunit ribosomal RNA", at positions 524 to 776 of the family's 1533-position model. The record is from RNAcentral.
UACGUAGGGUGCGAGCGUUGUCCGGAAUUAUUGGGCGUAAAGAGCUCGUAGGCGGCCUGUCGCGUCGGAUGUGAAAGCCCGGGGCUCAACCCCGGGUCUGCAUUCGAUACGGGCAGGCUGGAGUGUGGUAGGGGAGAUCGGAAUUCCCGGUGUAGCGGUGAAAUGCGCAGAUAUCGGGAAGAACACCCGUGGCGAAGGCGGUUCUCUGGGACGGUACUGACGCUGAGACGCGAAAGCGUGGGGAGCGAACAGG